GGGCGUCUAGCUCAAAUGGUAGAGCGCGCGCUUAGCAUCGAUCCUCUCAUCUGAGGAUAGCAUCUUGCGCGAGGUACACGGUUCGAUCCCGUGGUCGUCCA
Diaporthe sp. PMI_573 is the source of this 101-nucleotide non-coding RNA. The record is from the annotation of a GenBank genome assembly. Lineage: Eukaryota; Fungi; Ascomycota; Sordariomycetes; Diaporthales; Diaporthaceae.